GAACGCUGGCGGCGUGCCUAAUACAUGCAAGUCGAACGGUCUUUCUAUGGAAGCUUGCUUCCACUGAGAAGAUAGUGGCGAACGGGUGAGUAACACGUGGGUAACCUGCCCAUAAGAGGGGGAUAACAUCCGGAAACGGGUGCUAAUACCGCAUAGUUUUCUUGAUCGCAUGAUUGAGAAAGGAAAGACGGCCUUUGUGCUGUCGCUUAUGGAUGGACCCGCGGCGUAUUAGUUAGUUGGUGAGGUAAUGGCUCACCAAGACGAUGAUACGUAGCCGACCUGAGAGGGUGAUCGGCCACAUUGGGACUGAGACACGGCCCAAACUCCUACGGGAGGCAGCAGUAGGGAAUCUUCCGCAAUGGACGAAAGUCUGACGGAGCAACGCCGCGUGAGUGAAGAAAGGUUUUCGGAUCGUAAAACUCUGUUGUCAGAGAAGGACAAGUUGGAGAGUAACUGCUCCAGCCUUGACGGUAUCUGACCAGAAAGCCACGGCUAACUACGUGCCAGCCGCGGC
Molecule: ribosomal RNA, 514 nt
Filed under: uncultured bacterium
Lineage: Bacteria
Description: bacterial SSU rRNA
Rfam family: Bacterial small subunit ribosomal RNA
Source: RNAcentral